CGAGUGAAGAGGGAAGAGCUCAAAUUUAAAAUCUGGCAGUGUUUUGCUGUCCGAGUUGUAAUCUAGAGAAGUGCUGCCCGUGCUGGACCAUGUACAAGUCUCCUGGAAUGGAGCGUCACAGAGGGUGAGAAUCCCGUCUUUGACAUGGACUGCCAGUGCAUUUGUGGUGUGCUCUCAAAGAGUCGAGUUGUUUGGGAAUGCAGCUCUAAAUGGGUGGUAAACUCCAUCUAAAGCUAAAUAUUGGCGAGAGACCGAUAGCGAACAAGUACCGUGAGGGAAAGAUGAAAAGAACUUUGGAAAGAGAGUUAAACAGUAUGUGAAAUUGUUGAAAGGGAAACGCUUAAAGUCAGUCGUGUCGGCCAGGGAUCAACUCAGUAAUUUUUGCUGGGUGUACUUCCUGAUCUGAUGGGCCAACAUCAGUUUUGACUGCUGGAGAAGGAUAGAGGGAAUGUGGCACCUUCGGGUGUGUUAUAGCUYUCUGUCGGAUGCAGUGGUUGGGACUGAGGAAAGCAGCAUGCCGCAAGGCCAGGUCAGUUUUGACCAUGUUCAUGCUGAGGAUGUUGGCAUAAUGGCUUUAAUCGACCCGUCUUGAAACACGGACCAAGGAGUCUAACAUGCCUGCGAGUGUUUGGGUGGCAAACCCGAGUGCGGAAUGAAAGUGAAAGGUUGAGAUCCCUGUCAUGGGGAGCAUCGACACCCGGACCUGAGCUUUUAGCAAAGGAUCUGCGGUAGAGCAUGUAUGUUAGGACCCGAAAGAUGGUGAACUAUGCCUGAAUAGGGUGAAGCCAGAGGAAACUCUGGUGGAGGCUCGUAGCGAUUCUGACGUGCAAAUCGAUCGUCGAAUUUGGGUAU
This 852-nucleotide ribosomal RNA is filed under the name Amanita parvipantherina. RNAcentral describes it as "eukaryotic LSU rRNA". It matches the Rfam family "Eukaryotic large subunit ribosomal RNA", at positions 90 to 918 of the family's 3401-position model. The record is from RNAcentral. Lineage: Eukaryota; Fungi; Basidiomycota; Agaricomycetes; Agaricales; Amanitaceae.